CGUACACUCCUGCGGGAGGCAGCAGUGGGGAAUUUUGGACAAUGGGCGAAAGCCUGAUCCAGCCAUGCCGCGUGCAGGAUGAAGGCCUUCGGGUUGUAAACUGCUUUUGUACGGAACGAAACGGCCUUUUCUAAUAAAGAGGGCUAAUGACGGUACCGUAAGAAUAAGCACCGGCUAACUACGUGCCAGCAGCCGCGGUAAUACGUAGGGUGCAAGCGUUAAUCGGAAUUACUGGGCGUAAAGCGUGCGCAGGCGGUUAUGUAAGACAGUUUUGAAAUCCCCGGGCUCAACCUGGGAACUGCAUCUGUGACUGCAUAGCUAGAGUACGGUAGAGGGGGAUGGAAUUCCGCGUGUAGCAGUGAAAUGCGUAGAUAUGCGGAGGAACACCGAUGGCGAAGGCAAUCCCCUGGACCUGUACUGACGCUCAUGCACGAAAGCGUGGGGAGCAAACAGGAUUAGAAACCCCUGUAGUCCCA
This 476-nucleotide ribosomal RNA is filed under the name uncultured organism. RNAcentral describes it as "partial 16S ribosomal RNA". It matches the Rfam family "Bacterial small subunit ribosomal RNA", at positions 330 to 797 of the family's 1533-position model. The record is from RNAcentral.